Molecule: ribosomal RNA, 1439 nt
Filed under: uncultured organism
Description: SSU rRNA
Rfam family: Bacterial small subunit ribosomal RNA
Source: RNAcentral
GCUACAGGCUUAACACAUGCAAGUCGAGGGGCAGCAUGGUCUUAGCUUGCUAAGGCCGAUGGCGACCGGCGCACGGGUGAGUAACACGUAUCCAACCUGCCGUCUACUCUUGGACAGCCUUCUGAAAGGAAGAUUAAUACAAGAUGGCAUCAUGAGUCCGCAUGUUCACAUGAUUAAAGGUAUUCCGGUAGACGAUGGGGAUGCGUUCCAUUAGAUAGUAGGCGGGGUAACGGCCCACCUAGUCUUCGAUGGAUAGGGGUUCUGAGAGGAAGGUCCCCCACAUUGGAACUGAGACACGGUCCAAACUCCUACGGGAGGCAGCAGUGAGGAAUAUUGGUCAAUGGGCGAGAGCCUGAACCAGCCAAGUAGCGUGAAGGAUGACUGCCCUAUGGGUUGUAAACUUCUUUUAUAAAGGAAUAAAGUCGGGUAUGGAUACCCGUUUGCAUGUACUUUAUGAAUAAGGAUCGGCUAACUCCGUGCCAGCAGCCGCGGUAAUACGGAGGAUCCGAGCGUUAUCCGGAUUUAUUGGGUUUAAAGGGAGCGUAGAUGGAUGUUUAAGUCAGUUGUGAAAGUUUGCGGCUCAACCGUAAAAUUGCAGUUGAUACUGGAUAUCUUGAGUGCAGUUGAGGCAGGCGGAAUUCGUGGUGUAGCGGUGAAAUGCUUAGAUAUCACGAAGAACUCCGAUUGCGAAGGCAGCCUGCUAAGCUGCAACUGACAUUGAGGCUCGAAAGUGUGGGUAUCAAACAGGAUUAGAUACCCUGGUAGUCCACACGGUAAACGAUGAAUACUCGCUGUUUGCGAUAUACUGCAAGCGGCCAAGCGAAAGCGUUAAGUAUUCCACCUGGGGAGUACGCCGGCAACGGUGAAACUCAAAGGAAUUGACGGGGGCCCGCACAAGCGGAGGAACAUGUGGUUUAAUUCGAUGAUACGCGAGGAACCUUACCCGGGCUUAAAUUGCAGAUGAAUUACGGUGAAAGCCGUAAGCCGCAAGGCAUCUGUGAAGGUGCUGCAUGGUUGUCGUCAGCUCGUGCCGUGAGGUGUCGGCUUAAGUGCCAUAACGAGCGCAACCCUUGUUGUCAGUUACUAACAGGUUCCGCUGAGGACUCUGACAAGACUGCCAUCGUAAGAUGUGAGGAAGGUGGGGAUGACGUCAAAUCAGCACGGCCCUUACGUCCGGGGCUACACACGUGUUACAAUGGGGGGUACAGAGGGUCGCUACCACGCGAGUGGGUGCCAAUCCCCAAAACCUCUCUCAGUUCGGACUGGAGUCUGCAACCCGACUCCACGAAGCUGGAUUCGCUAGUAAUCGCGCAUCAGCCACGGCGCGGUGAAUACGUUCCCGGGCCUUGUACACACCGCCCGUCAAGCCAUGGGAGCCGGGGGUACCUGAAGUGCGUAACCGCGAGGAGCGCCCUAGGGUAAAACUGGUGACUGGGGCU